CGGACGGGUGAGUAACGCGUGGAAAACCUGCCGUAUACUGGGGGAUAACACUUAGAAAUAGGUGCUAAUACCGCAUAAGCGCACAGCUUCGCAUGAAGCGGUGUGAAAAACUCUGGUGGUAUACGAUGGUUCCGCGUCUGAUUAGCUAGUUGGUGGGGUAAUGGCCUACCAAGGCGACGAUCAGUAGCCGGCCUGAGAGGGUGAACGGCCACAUUGGGACUGAGACACGGCCCAAACUCCUACGGAAGGCAGCAG
Molecule: ribosomal RNA, 255 nt
Filed under: uncultured bacterium
Lineage: Bacteria
Description: partial 16S ribosomal RNA
Rfam family: Bacterial small subunit ribosomal RNA
Source: RNAcentral